AGUGUAAUGUCUGAUUAAAGUAAUAAAUUGUAAAUUUAUUUAAGGAAAUUUUUUUUUUCUUACACUA
Molecule: transfer RNA, 67 nt
Filed under: Dryinus sp. ZJUH_2016011
Lineage: Eukaryota; Metazoa; Arthropoda; Insecta; Hymenoptera; Dryinidae
Description: tRNA-Tyr
Source: RNAcentral